GUGCCAGCAGCCGCGGUAAUACGUAGGGGGCGAACGUUGCUCGGAAUUACUGGGCGUAAAGGGUGUGUAGGUGGCUGAGCAAGUCGAAGAUGAAAUCCCAGGGCUCAACCCUGGAAUUGUCUUUGAUACUGUUCAGCUUGAGGGUGGUCGAGGAAGACGGAAUUCCCGGUGGAGCGGUGAAAUGCGUAGAUAUCGGGAGGAACACCGGAGGCGAAGGCGGUCUUCUGGGCCACUCCUGACACUGAGGCACGAAAGCUAGGGGAGCGAACGGGAUUAGAUACCCUGGUAGUCCACGCCGUAAACGAUGAGAACUAGGUGUAGCGGGUAUUGACCCCUGCUGUGCCGAAGCUAACGCAUUAAGUUCUCCGCCUGGGGAGUACGGCCGCAAGGCUAAAACUCAAAGGAAUUGACGGGG
RNAcentral lists this ribosomal RNA (415 nucleotides) under uncultured prokaryote. RNAcentral's name for it is "bacterial SSU rRNA". It matches the Rfam family "Bacterial small subunit ribosomal RNA", at positions 505 to 918 of the family's 1533-position model. The record is from RNAcentral.